RNAcentral lists this long non-coding RNA (7267 nucleotides) under Homo sapiens (human). Its description in RNAcentral is "HLA complex group 18". The record is from RNAcentral. Lineage: Eukaryota; Metazoa; Chordata; Mammalia; Primates; Hominidae.
GCCUGCGGAAGAAGGAGGAGGAGGGCUGGCGAUGAGAAGCAGCAGGGGGAAUCAAGGGCAAGAAGGGACCCAGAGGGGCAGGUGGCUGAGAUGCUGGCGUCCAGGUGACCCGAGGAAUCCUCUGGAGAUACAGGCCCGCGCAUGCGCGUGCUCGAGCGCUGAAGCCCAUUGCCCGCAGGGCGCUGGACUGGCGCCCCGGCCGGCGAGGCUGUCUAGUCCAGGCUCCAGGCCCCGGCUCUGGCCAGGCGCCGCCGCCUCCCGGUGCAGCUGAAAGUCGACGAAGAGGGCGGGGCGGGGGCGGCUUGUGGACUUCCACACUUUUCCUCUCUUCGGGCCAGUCUGGGGAGAGGGUGGCUAGCUGUGGCGGCGGCCAAUUACGUGGCGGACCUGCGGGGCUAAGCUGGCACGUCACUUCCGACUAGUGGAGUUUUUAGCCUUUUAACAUUCAAGGAUUAGGUAAGUUCUCCCCGCGGUAGACUUCAAAUACUCUUUGUCCUGCCCCUGCUUGGCGAAAUUUACCGAAAUUAUCUACCUAUCCCGCUGGAGUGGGAGCCGGGGGAGAGCUGGAACCGCGUCUCUGCUGCUCACCUUUGUGUCCUUAGCUCCUUCGCAUGGGGUCCGACCGCAACACGUGCGCUGGAUAAACGCUUGUUAACUGGGUAAAAGUCUUGCAGUGAAAAACCCGAGGACCCUUACCGCAAGUGUCUUUUGCUCCCAGCUACUGAUACUGGAUUCCACUCGUGAUUCUCCCUUUCUUAGCGCAUUCAUGAUAUAGACAUCAGUCUCUGAGCUGGAGGAGGACAAAGGCAGCGGUCCUGUGAAUUCUAUGCUCUAGCUUGGGUUAAGGGAUUUGGAAUUGCACUUGUUUCAGAGAGCUCCCUCUUUGCCCACUAGCAGGGCAUUAGCUGGUGCUGAAGACAGUGGCUGCUUGGCGAGCCUGGAUCUCCAAGUGACCCCCUCAGCAACUCCUGAUGAACAGGACUGAAGCCAAUAUUAAAGCAAGUCAACCAAAGGUUCUCUGGUGUAGACAAGACAGCAAAAGGACAGACUACCUUGUGGAACCUAGCAUUGUUCUCCUUCUGCAGCACUAAGUAACAUUUGUUCUCCGUUAAGAUCUUUGCAAACCACACACAAGAAUUGCUGGUCAUCCUGCCAAUAGAUGCUGCUCACAGAACCAAAUUUCCUGUGCUGAAUUGUCACUCAUGGGCUUGAGAGUAGGAGACUGGAGACCAAGGUGGCUAGAAUCCAGUUGGGCCUGAUGUCUCCCUGUUGAAAGGGCUCCUUGUGGAAUGAAUAGCACAUGGCUCCUGUGGUGGAUCUGAUAGUGGCAUAGCACCAAGUGAUGCAGGCCUGCCAGGGGCCACAGACACAGAAGAUGCUCCCGGGGUCCCCCAUGUACUCCAGACACACUGCAGGCCACCUCUCCCAGCAGGUUGCCAGUCAUGGGCCCCAUCAUCAUGACUUCUGUCCAAGGUACUGUGUGCAGAAAUGUGAUUGAGAUUCAAGUCAGGGCCUCUCUGCCCUUUUCCCUCCAGAAACAAAACCAAGAUAAUUUAUCCUGAACACGGUGAAAAAAGGAAGGGAGGGAGGAGAAAAAGUCCGGGUCUCACCUGGGAUUCUCUGUCUCCUGCAACAUGAAGGAUUUAGCCUGGGAGGAGGUGGUGAGAACUCUGGGAGAGAAAAAAGAAGGAAAGAAUAGUUUUACCCAUGCUGAAGUUAAUUUAAACCUUCACCUAGAGAAGCAAAAAAAAAAAACCCACACUUUCCCAUUUUGUGCCUCCCUUCCUAGAGUUUUAGCCAAAGGUUUAGCUAAGUAAUUGGUUUUACCAGCGCACUCACUCCUCCUAUCCCAAGUCUGUUUGACUCCCUCCCCAUCAUCCUCCUCACCUCUUUUCAGGCAGGGUGGGGAUAGCAGCAGGAGGAGAUUUUGGGAGCCUGGCAACUCCUGCAAGGACCGCAGGACAGCCCCUCUGUGGGGAUGCGUGGUGCCCCAUCUGCCGCCCUUCUGAAGAAUGCACUGCCUUCACUUUUUACUGUGUUAGAGUCCAUCCAGACUGUUCUAUCCAAAAAAGUUUCUUUUUCCCCCACAGGCAAUCAGGAAAUGAUUCCUUUCCCGACUGCUUCUGUCUAGUGCCUGGGAAUCUUGAGUCAAUCCCUCAGUAAGUCAGUGACUAGGGAAAUCCCUCUCUGAGCCUCCCAGUUCAUGUUGCUUAGGGAACCUGAUAUUUUCGUGAAACCUGCCUACACAUGGGCAGCCCAACAGCAGAACAAAUGGUGGUGACCAAAGUGAACAAAGAAGUAUAGUUGUGCCAGCUUCGUAGUUGCCCAUGUGGACAAGUCAGCAGGAUCAGGACACGAGGAAGAGUAAAUGUGAGACAGUCAAUGUGACUUCUGCGAUAAACAGAUUUUUAAACCCCGAAAUUUUGCAAAAUUUUGGUGAAACCUGAACUUUCUUCGUUGCAUAUACUGGCACUAUCUGUACCAUCAUACAACUGUCUCACAUUAAAGCUAUUUUUCUUGGGCACUGAUGAGUAAGGUUGGUAUAAGUUCCUCAGAUCAACAAAAACCCAUUUUCCUGUAAGUCUUACAUUUAGUAUUUAAGGAACUAAAACUUAAAUACAUUUUGUGAAAUGGUUGACACUUCACUGAUAAUGAUUUAUUGCUUGGAUUAAUAAAUUUUCCAAAAGUUGUCUUAUGUAGAAUAUGGUUUGCAACCAGCAGAACCAUUAAUCUAUACUGCAAUGAUAUGCACUAUGUAUAAUUGUUUAAAAGCCUCUACUUAAUGAUGUAAAAUGCUCUAUUUAAUUACACAUUUGGGUAAACUGUAUACUAACAUCUGAUGGCAUUUUUCCACUGUUUGUUGCUUUUUUCAAAUACUUUAUUGUACAAAGCUGUUCUUAAUAUUUUUCAAGUUUUUUUCUUUGAAUUUUGCUAAUGUUUUCCUUGAAUUAUGAGCACUGACAGAAUGUGCUUAGCACUUUUGGCUAUUCACACAGCUUUUGAGCAUGAUUUGCAUCCAAUAUUUACAUUGCUAGCAAUAAUAAGCCAUCUGUGAGUUUUGUCAAAAGUUAUUGGGGAUUUUUUAAAUUUUAGAAAUGCAAAUUAUUGUUUCUUUGAACUAACUCUUAUGCAGUUGCAAAGGCAUUUCCAGUUGUUAUAGUUUGUGUACAAUAUCAGGUGUUCCAGAUUAUGAUUCAUUAUUAAUAUCAUUGCUUCCUUGUUCCCUCUGAGGUCCAGAAGAUUCAUGUUUACAAUAUUUAGAAACAAUGUUAAAAAGGUAUCCAAAGUUUGUCACUUUAUUAUUAGUUUGUUCUUAAUAUUCUGUUUAAGUUUUUGAAUUCAUAGAUAUCAAAACGCUGCACAAUUAUGAUUUCCACAGGAAUAACAACACACUAACAAUAAGAACCAAAAACAGCAAAUAGGCUGCCUACAAGUUUUGACAAUAUUAGGAUAAUGAUAAUGACAGUUUUUCUAAAUCUCACAGUAAAGAAUGCAGCAACCCAGCAACACUGCUACCUGUGGCCUCAGGCUGCAGUGUCAGCUCUUCCCUGGGUCUCCAGCCUGCCAGUCUAACCUGAAAAUUAUGUACUUGCCAGCCCCCACAGUCACGUGAGUGAACUGGCCCAGGCUGGUCACCAGGGUCAGUUUCUCUGUGUGUCAUUAAUUCAUUCAGUCUUCAGCAGUCUCUUUGGAGCUGAGAUGUACCUACCAUCUGCCUUUUGGGUGCUUAGGGUGGAGAACCAGAAAAGUAUAACCUAGUGUGUAUCCUCAAAGAGCUAACAAUAUGGGGUGGUACCUAUAGGUCUGGAAACACUUUACUGACUCUGUGAGGCAUACCAGGAGACGUCAGAGAACAGUCCCUCCUCAAAUGCCAAAUGAGAUGCAGAAGAAAUAGUUUGCUCAAGUUCAUGGGCCAGAUAUCCCAGUGGUCAGGGAGUUUCAUGAAUGAGAUGGAACUUUGCAUGGAACCCGAGGGAUGUGUAUGAUUUGAGUAGAUGAAGAAAAUGAGACUUUCCAAGCAGCUAGAAGUUAGGGAGCAGCAAGAUGUGUGGUGGGAUUGAGCACAGUUGGUUCAGAGGAUAGACUGCAGUUUUAAUAAUUUGUAGUAAAUAUCUCCCAACUGUUUGGCACUAUUGGAGCAAGUUCUUGAAUGCCAAAUGAAGGCAUAAAUCAGUAAGAGGCAUAAUAAAAGGCUGAGCAGUGCUUGGCUUUUUACGAACUGAUCCUGAUAGGAGCAGCUGUUCAACAAAGUUGCCAGGUCACCGUUACAUAGUCCCUGCCUUCUAGGGGCUCACUGCCUACUGGGAGAGACAGUCUGAAAGUUGGUGGAGCAUGUAACUGUUGGAUGAGGAGUUUGAGCCUGUGGACUGUGGGACCCCCGAGGAGGGUGUGGCUACUCUAGGCAGAACAAUCCCACAGUUUAUUUAUAUUUAACCUUGAAAUUCAUUAGAGGAUUUUUCAGCAGAGGUUUGGUACUUGUUAAUGUUAAGGUUUGCAUUCUCUAGAACCUCAAGGAAAGCUGUACCGUGCAUAAUGUACCCUCUUAUGUUAAUGUUGUGUACUGUGAUCCUGUUUCAGGGACUUGCACUUAGGAAUCUGUUACAGUGAGCACAGAAGCAGACCUGUGGGCUCAUAGUCUUCACCCCCCACCCAUAUAUACAAGAUGAACAGAGUGGAGGUUAAACAACUUGACUAAACAACACAGUUCAUGGUAAAGCCCAAGACUGUACCUGCCCAUCCACUGCCUUUUCCAUGUAUCCUGGAACUGAGCAUAGACCUCUUCCCAGGCAGAGCUGACAGCAAGUAAAGGAGAUCAUAAUCAGGGGACCAAACAACUUUGUCUAAAGUGUGAAUGUCACCUAAGGAGAAGCUGUGAGAUCAGAAGGGUGGGGCAGAGGAGCAGACACCAUGAGGGAGAGUCCUUGGGGGUACAUCUGCCAGACUGACACUGUCUGGCCUGGGCAGUGGAGGGGCUAGCAGGAACCACAGGUACUGGUGGUGUGGCUACUACCGUUACAACUGCCUGUGCUUGGACAUGGACCCUCUGCAAUAUGCGGCAGUUUCAUUCAUUGCCCCCUACAUUCUACACCAAGUAGAAAUGGAAGGCAAUUGGAUACUUCACAGACAAGAUCUAAGUGGAGAAGGAAUGCGUCCUGUGGCUGCAGAGAUCCUUGGAGCUUGGAGGGGAGAGCUUGAGCCCCACUGAUGAUGACCUCCCACAGCUCGCCAACUCAGCCCUCCCUAAGUCCCCAUCGGGGGCCAAUUCUCACUCUGGGGUUGGGGGGACUCCACCAUAGCUCAUCCAUCAUAGGGAUGUUGGUAUCUACUGUGGGUUGGGUAGGGCCGAUGUGCUGAGGAUGGCUCCCCCACAAGCAAGAGAUGUGGAUUUGGGGAGCUUCCCAUCUUGUGUUGAAGGAACAUAACUCAGAAUAAUAAGAGCCAACUAUAACAAACCCACAGCCAACAUCAUACUGAAUGGGCAAAAGCUGCAGGCAUUCCCCUUGAAAAGUGGCACAGGAUAAGGAAGCCCUUUCUCACCACUCCUAUUCAAUAUAGUGUUGAAAGUCCUGAUCACAGCAGUCAGGCAACAGAAAUAAUAAAGGGCAUCCAAAUAGGAAGAGAGGAAGUCAAACUAUCCUUGUUUGCAGACAGUAUGAUUCUAUAUCUAGAAAACCCCAUAGCCUCAGCCCAAAAGGUCCUUCAUCUGAUAAUUUCAGCAAAGUUUCAGGAGACAAAAUCAGUGUACAAAAAUCACUAACAUUCCUAUACACAGUCGCCAAGCCAAGAGCCAAAUCAGGAGCACAAUCCCAUUCAUAAUUGCCACAAAAAAGAAUAAAAUACCCAGGAAUGCAGCUAACCAAGGAAGUAAAGGAUCUCUACAAUGAGAAUCACAAACGCUGCUCAAAGAAAUCAGAGAUGACACAAACAAAUGGAAAAACUUUCCAUGCUCAUGGCUAGGAAGAAUCAAUAUCAUUAAAGUGGCCAUACUACCCAAAGCAAUUUAUAGAUUCAAUGCUAUUCCUAUCAAACUAUCAAUUACAUUUUUCACAGAACUAGAAAAAACUUAAAAUUCAUAUGGAACCAAAAAGCCUGAGUAGUCAAGGCAAUCCUAAACAAAAAGAACAAAGGUGGAGGCAUCACAUUACCUAACUUCAAACUACAGGGCUACCAUGACCAAAACAGCAUGGUACUGGUACAAAAGCAGACACACAGACCAGUGGGACAGAAUAGAGAGCCCAAAAAUAAGGCCACAAACCUACAGCCAUCUGAUCUUCAACAAAGUUGACAAAAACAAGCAAUGGGGAAAGGUCUCCCUAUUCAAUAAAUGGUGCUGGGAUAACUGGCUGGCCAUAUGCAGAAGAUCGUAACUGGACCCCUUUUACUAUGUACAAAAAUUAAGAUGGUUUAAAGAGUUAAAACCCAAAAUUAUAAAAAUCCUGAAGAUAACUUAGGCAAUACCAUUCUGGACAUAGGAACUGGCAAAUAUUUCAUGAUGAAGACACCAAAAGCAAUUGUAACAAAAGCAAAAAUGGACAAAUUGGAUUUAAGAGCUUUUUCAUAGCAAAAUAAACAACAGGGCAGACAAUCUACCAAAUGACAGAAAAUUUUUGCAAACUAUGCAUCUGACAAGGGGCUAAUAUCUAGCAUCUAUAAGGAAUUUAAACACAGUUACAGGAAAAAAAAAACCCACUCCAUUAAAAAAUGGGCAAAGGACAUGAACAGACACUUUUCAAAAAAGACAUACAUACAGCCAACUAGCGUGUUAAAGAAAACCUCAAUUAUCACUGAUCAUUAGAGAAAUGCAAAAUCAAAACCAUGAUGAGAUAUCAUCUGCCAGUCAGGAUGGCUACAAAAAAGUAAAAAAAUAAUAGAUGUUGGUGAGGUUAUGGAGAAAAGGAACUUAUACACUUGUUAGGAGUGUAAAUUAGUUCAAUCACUGUGGACAGCAGUGUGGUGAUUCCUCAGAGAGCUAAAAACAACUACCAUUUGACUCACCAAUCCCAUUACUGGAUAUUUACCUAAAGGAAUAUAAAUCAUUCCACCAUAAAGACACAUGCAAGUGUAUGUUCAUUGCAGCACUAUUAACAGUAACAAAGCUGGGCACAGUGGCUCACCUCACGACUGUAAUCCCAGCACUUUGGGAGGCUGAGGUAGGCGGAUCACCUGAGGUCGGCAGUUUGAGACCAGCCUGACCAACAUGGAGAGACCCCAUCUCUACUAAAAAUACAAAAUUAGCCAGGUGUGGUGGCUCAUGCCUGUAAUCCCA